UGCAUAAAUUCAGGGAAUUGAGCUGCCGAAGGGCACUCAAAAAUAGGAUGAGAUGGGCUAAAGCAGAGAGCACAAACUUGUGCUUGGAAAAAGUUUGGAAGUUGUUCUCUAGACAUUAGCUAGUCCAACUUGCGGGAUAGUGCAUCUACUUUGUCAGAUAGACCUAUGGACUGGCUAAUUUCAUAUAUUGUUCCUUUUCUUUGAGAACUCGGGGGGUGCUUGACGAGCGGAGGAGGCAUGGUGGAGGAAAUUUUCAUUAAGGUUCUCAAACAAUUGCCAUGCCUCAUGGUCACUUUUAAGCAUGAAAGUACCUCCGCAUGCGGCAUCGAUCAUCUGACGGUUUCGUUCAGUCAAUCCGUCAUAGAAACAUUGCAUUAAUUGCCAUUUGGGUAUUUGA
This 397-nucleotide long non-coding RNA is filed under the name Phoenix dactylifera (date palm). RNAcentral's name for it is "long non-coding RNA (PDAC_LNC020500)". The record is from RNAcentral. Lineage: Eukaryota; Viridiplantae; Streptophyta; Magnoliopsida; Arecales; Arecaceae.